GCAGGGCAGCAGCCGGCGCGGAGUGAACUUGGUGAGCUCCUUCAAUAUGUCACAGCAAAAGAUAAUCUGAGGUGCUGUCCCUGCUGGGAAGAACAUUCUAGAAUCCCUUUGACAGCUGUAGCACCAAGACCAUGAGGUGGGCCACAGCUGGCCCCCUUACAAUUCAGCACCAUAAUGGCAGUCUCACAUGGAGUAAUAAAAGCCAGGAAAAUAAAGAAAUAUGUAAACACUGAAAAGAAAAAGAGGAAUCUACCACUGUCAAAGAAAUUCUGGUGGCAAAAUAGAUAAAGCAAUUGAGUGUUAACGGAAAGGUCAGUGCUUAGAACCCAUCCCUGGCUCUAUAGAAGAGAAGGAUGUGGCAAUCCACUAGUGUUAAGAUUACAGCCUAGAAAGCAUAUAAAGCAGGUGUGCUCUGUCAUCAUAUAGGGUCAUUGUCCGUCAGAAUGAGCCCAAUAAGACAUAACAAGAACAUCACAAUGAAGGAGAGGACAUCAUUUUCCACCUAGAACCAUAAAGACAGUUCAAGUGUCUACGUAACAUCGUUACAUCAUCGUCAUUGUCUUUGUGCUAAGUCAGGGACAGCGUGGAGUUUCUGUUGAAGAUGUCAUGUUAUUCUCUCACUUAAUCCCCAUAACAAACUUGAGAAGUAAAUUUCAUCAUUGAUGAGAGCACCAUAAAACUUCCUUGCAAGACGUUGAACUACCUUGUAAGAUG
Echinops telfairi (small Madagascar hedgehog) is the source of this 714-nucleotide long non-coding RNA. RefSeq lists it as uncharacterized. The transcript is spliced from 3 exons. NCBI's taxonomy places the organism in Eukaryota, Metazoa, Chordata, Mammalia, Afrosoricida, Tenrecidae. The record is from RefSeq and is a predicted model, not a curated record.